GGGGGACAUAAGCUAAGCUAAAACACAAGUCAUCUAUGGGUAACCCUGCCGACCCACACCCAACCCCGGAGGAGGCGUACGAAAAACUCUAGGAGCCCCUAUCCUACAACCCUGAUUCUAGACCUCAAGACUUUCCUAUCAAGGGUCAUGUCCUCGGAAACCUGCAUUGUAGUCAUGUCCUGCCUAAUCACCUCUCCCCAAUACUUCUUAGGCCUCCCUCUGCCUCGCCGACCGCCAACAAUCUCCAGCCGCUCGCAGCUUACAACCCUGAUUCUAGACCUCAAGACUUUCCUAUCAAGGGUCAUGUCCUCGGAAACCUGCAUUUUAGCCAUGUAAUGCCUAAUCACCUCUCCCCAAUACUUCUUAGGCCUCCCUCUGCCUCGCCGUCCGCCAAUAAUCUCCAGCCGCUCGCAGCUCCUCACCGGGGCAUCGGGACUUCUCCUCCGCACA
RNAcentral lists this long non-coding RNA (450 nucleotides) under Nicotiana benthamiana. RNAcentral's name for it is "long non-coding RNA (NBEN_LNC025749)". Lineage: Eukaryota; Viridiplantae; Streptophyta; Magnoliopsida; Solanales; Solanaceae. The record is from RNAcentral.